Molecule: long non-coding RNA, 2435 nt
Organism: Electrophorus electricus (electric eel)
Lineage: Eukaryota; Metazoa; Chordata; Actinopteri; Gymnotiformes; Gymnotidae
Source: RefSeq, a predicted model, not a curated record
UGAACAAAGCUGCAGAAUAAUGGAAGAGCUCAGGCCGAGUACAUGGGCCGCGAGGAUCAGCCAGGAGGAUCAGCAACCAGAUGAAACGUCCACUGCUCUUCAAAUCAGCACCAGCACACCUAAAACACUUAAAAACAUCAAACCCUUUACCACAAUAACAAUGUGAUGAUCAUGUAAUAUGAGCACACUACAGAGUUUAGCUCCACCGAUUAAACCGCUCAUUUAUUUUCAACACAUUCACUUCCUGUGUCCUUUUAUUUAUAUAUAUAUAUAUAUACACUGAUGAUUUUUUGGUUUUUUGUUUCGCCUGUGAGCAUUGCAGUGGGCCGGUGAGGAGAGAGCUGUCUCUCCUGCUCUCUCUUUCUCUGGCUGCCCCCUCCCUUCCACUUCCUCCCCACCAAACGAUGACUGAUUUCCUCUGGUGCUUAGAGUCCCGCUUGGCUUCUAGCACCAUUUGAAAUCGGUUAUAAUGCCUGGGGAUCAAUUCUUCAGUCUUCCGAUCAGUUCAAUGAACCCCCUUCCCUGGAAAUUGUUUUUUUUUGGGAUAUGAACAUCAAGUGUGAGUCAAGUUUAGACCUGCCUAAAACAUCUACUCAGACUCAGGGUUUUGUGUAAAUAAAGCUGCUAUAUUUGCUGUAAAGUUGAAGUUAUAUUGCCCUCUGCUGUCUGGGAUACAACAUCACACAAGCCAUUAGACCACUUGUCAUAUUGUCUGUAUACUGUUUUCAUAACUUAGUGGCUGAACAAAAGAUUAAGAUAUUCGAAACCAUACGUAAACUACUGGGCAACAAAAAAGCAAAAAAAAAAAAAAAAGAAUGCAUGUUUUAUUAAAAGAAGAAUACUACAUUUAUAAGACUGACUUCUACAAAAGGAAUCGCAUUCCCAAAAUUCUGCAUGCUAGAAUAAUAGUUCACUCAGGAACUACUUGGAAGCCUACUUUGAAUCUUUUUAUGGAAGCCAGUCUGAUCCCUGCUGUCCUGAAACCGAUAGAAGGUUACUUAUUAAUCCACUCGACCAUUUGGUCUAUGGUAUAGAUGCAGCCUCUCACAUCUGUGGUUUUGUUUGAGUACUUACAUAACAGGAAUGUACAAAUAUUGCAGGUUUUGGAGUGUGGAAUUGCAUUGAACAUGUAGCAUGUUUAUACGUUGGUGAGAUAAAUUUGACGUUGGGAAACGAUAUAGCUUCAGUCAUCUCGACAGCAUGUUGCUGAGAAAACCUAAGAGUGGGGAGACUCUCCUCACUUACCUGCCUGAGGAAGAGAAAGCCAAAGUUGGGUUGUAAGAUUUUCAUUAAUCCAACAGUAAUACUCUGGCUUGUCCUUGUGUCAUGAAAUGUGGGUAAAUGAGUUUUGCAAACAUUUUGACAGAAUAACACAAUCUACAUGAUCUUUUUUUUUUUGAGUUUUGGACUCAAAAGCGGUCUGACACAUUCUGAGAAAGAACUGACAGCUGAAGCUGGCCUGCCUUGACACCUCAAAUACAGCCCAGUCACACCUUAAGGUAUAUGCUGAGCAUAAUAAUAAUGAGUUAACACUGACCGGGCUGCCCUGCUCCAGGCCAACAGCCCCAUUCCAAACCCUGCAGAGGGAGGUGACAGUCCUGCCAAAUACCUGCCCUGUGGUAUCUUCAUUAACAUACUGCAACCAAAAUAACAUGCACUCCCACAGAUGUCAACACUCUCUCUAGCUCGUCUACCCUCUCAGUAAAAUAUUACAAUAAUCAGAGUGAGAGACAGGAAGAUACCAACACUGUAGGUCUACAGCGCCUCUCUAGAAGGAGCCCGUCUCCUGUCAGCAAUACACCUUGCCUUCUCUUAAGCAUACACUUUGGAGGCCAGCUCACUCCCAGAAGGUCACAAGUGGCCUGGGCAGCAGGUUCACACAUAAGAAGAACAGAGCCAGAGUAGUCCGCUCUGCGAGCCCCUCCACCUCUCUUCCCUCCAGAGGGUCUCGUUGAGAGUGACUGCACCAGGCUGGGGGCAUUCCAACACGGGGAGCCAACUUACUGGAACGUCACCAGUAGCACUGACACCCAGUGCACUUACCACACUGGGCACACUUGAGUGUCCUGUAAUACAUGUUUUGAGAACUACUCAUAUGUAUGGAGUUUUGAGAACUACUCAUAUGUAUGGAGUUUUGAGAACUGCUCAUAUGUAUGGAGUUUUGUGAACUGCUGAUAGGUAUGGAGUUUUGUGAACUGCUCAUAGAUAUGGAAUGCAGUUUUCUGGAAUGUUUUUAAUGUUUUGCUGAUGUAUGAAGUUGCUUGGAUGCUGCAGAUUUUGUGUAUUAGUUGCAUGAAAUGAUUUAAUCAAUUACUGAAAUGGUUCAACAGUGUAUACUUGCCUAAAACAGUUCAAAAGUAAUCUUCUGGUUUUAUAUUUGUAAUAUUCUAAUGCAUUACUUUCUCUUACAUAAAGUAUGGCUCACUUCAAAACAA